RNAcentral lists this small RNA (175 nucleotides) under Alishewanella agri. Its description in RNAcentral is "Manganese sequence". It matches the Rfam family "Manganese Mn2+ riboswitch aptamer (yybP-ykoY)". From Rfam's summary of the family: This RNA was originally discovered in E. coli during a large scale screen and was named SraF. The family was later found to exist upstream of related families of protein genes in many bacteria, including the the yybP and ykoK genes in B. subtilis. The specific functions of these proteins are unknown, but this structured RNA element may be involved in their genetic regulation as a riboswitch. Lineage: Bacteria; Pseudomonadati; Pseudomonadota; Gammaproteobacteria; Alteromonadales; Alteromonadaceae. RNAcentral also lists the same sequence under 1 other name. The record is from RNAcentral.
CAGCUUCUCUUUGGGGAGUAGCCGGCUUUCGAACGUUGUGUUGAAAGCGCCUGUAUCAACAUACUCGGUAUUACCGUGGUGCAGGCAACCGAAUUGGUAGGCGAGACCAACGGGCAACCCGCGCCGUCAAGGCCGGACGCAUGGGCUGUUCGUUGUAUGUCUUAUCGGCCGGAGU